This 480-nucleotide ribosomal RNA is filed under the name uncultured bacterium. Its description in RNAcentral is "bacterial SSU rRNA". It matches the Rfam family "Bacterial small subunit ribosomal RNA", at positions 30 to 506 of the family's 1533-position model. The record is from RNAcentral.
UUGAACGCUGGCGGAAUGCUUUACACAUGCAAGUCGAGCGGCAGCGCGGGGCAACCUGGCGGCGAGCGGCGAACGGGUGAGUAAUAUAUCGGAACGUACCCUGUCGUGGGGGAUAACACAUCGAAAGAUGUGCUAAUACCGCAUACGACCUGAGGGUGAAAGCGGGGGAUCGCAAGACCUCGCGCGAUAGGAGCGGCCGAUAUCGGAUUAGCUAGUUGGUGAGGUAAAGGCUCACCAAGGCGACGAUCUGUAGCUGGUCUGAGAGGACGACCAGCCACACUGGGACUGAGACACGGCCCAGACUCCUACGGGAGGCAGCAGUGGGGAAUUUUGGACAAUGGGCGCAAGCCUGAUCCAGCCAUUCCGCGUGCAGGAUGAAGGCCUUCGGGUUGUAAACUGCUUUUGUACGGAACGAAAAGGCUCUGGUGAAUACCUGGGGCUCAUGACGGUACCGUAAGAAUAAGCACCGGCUAACUACGU